UGCUAAGCGAGAAACAGGUCCAGAUGGGUUCUUCAAUUUGAUGAUGUGGCAUUGUUCUAUCCCCUAGAAAAACCGGGAGAGAGAGAGAGGAAAAGGGUGGGCAAACAAACAUGUAAGGAGGAAUCGUGCGUGGUCGUUUUGCUGCGGAACGCAAAGAAUGGCGUAAGGAUCACCCACAUGUACGUAGAUCACCCACAUGUAUUGUUGCUAAGCCAAAAAGAGUUCCAGAUGGGUCUAUUAAUUUGAUGGUGUGGCAUUGUUCUAUCCCUGGUAAAAUCGGG
Molecule: long non-coding RNA, 281 nt
Organism: Nicotiana attenuata
Lineage: Eukaryota; Viridiplantae; Streptophyta; Magnoliopsida; Solanales; Solanaceae
Exons: 3
Source: RefSeq, a predicted model, not a curated record